UACGUAGGGACCGAGCGUUGUCCGGAAUCAUUGGGCGUAAAGCGCACGUAGGCGGAUUGUUAAGUCGGGGGUGAAAUCCUGAGGCUCAACCUCAGAACUGCCUUCGAUACUGGCAAUCUCGAGUCCGGAAGAGGUUGGUGGAACAGCUAGUGUAGAGGUGAAAUUCGUAGAUAUUAGCUAGAACACCAGUGGCGAAGGCGGCCAACUGGUCCGGUACUGACGCUGAGGUGCGAAAGCGUGGGGAGCAAACAGG
Molecule: ribosomal RNA, 253 nt
Filed under: uncultured bacterium
Lineage: Bacteria
Description: partial 16S ribosomal RNA
Rfam family: Bacterial small subunit ribosomal RNA
Source: RNAcentral